Molecule: unclassified non-coding RNA, 174 nt
Filed under: fungal sp.
Lineage: Eukaryota; Fungi
Description: partial internal transcribed spacer region
Rfam family: Eukaryotic small subunit ribosomal RNA (bases 1-46)
Source: RNAcentral
AAGUCGUAACAAGGUUUCCGUAGGUGAACCUGCGGAAGGAUCAUUAACAAGUCCACAUAUGCCGCUCUUUGGGUGUGCAUAUAAGCCCCGUGCGCAAUGCACGAGACAUUUUAUCGUUUGACUGAUCAACACAAGGAACAAGAGAAACUUUUAACAACGGAUCUCUAGGCUCCU